Oncorhynchus keta (chum salmon) is the source of this 5273-nucleotide long non-coding RNA. RefSeq lists it as uncharacterized. The record is from RefSeq and is a predicted model, not a curated record. Lineage: Eukaryota; Metazoa; Chordata; Actinopteri; Salmoniformes; Salmonidae. The transcript is spliced from 4 exons.
ACUUCAAUACGUAUUUAAUGUGUAAUUGCAUGUGAUCACACAUCUAUAUCUAAGGCAAGUCUUUACAUUCCCUCAAAUUUGGCAAAAUGCAAGGUACACACAUUUAUAAUAAAUGAACAUGUAUUACACAGUAAAAUAUAUUGUUUAAAUGGAAUAACUGGUAGGCAACAUAUGAGGAUCAUGUAUUUAAACUACUUCUGACCCUAUUCAGUCUUGAUUCCUAUAUUCAGAAAAUCUGCUAUCAGUGGGGUAACUGAUGAACAUGAGAAAGAUUUGGGGGAUCAUUUGACAUCUUUCUAUCAGCGAUAGUCUACCAUUUUUUUGUGUGUGCCAAAUUUUCUAUUAAGGUAAUAACAUUUUAGUUUAGUUGAUGUAUGUUUAAAUUAUAGCAACAGUUACAAGACAAAGUGUGUGUUUGUGACACGAGAUUCAUGUUCACAGGUCAACCUUACCAGCCACUGUAUUACAAGCUAAUUCUGUUUAAACACUUGGAUUUUGGCACUUGUGAAUGCUUGAUCGACGGGACGGCUGGUAACGUUCAAAUGUCGCAGGACAGAUACAGUAGCGCAUGACUUGGCAUGCAAUUAUGCAUUCUUUCAGCUCCGUUGACACAGAAGAAUGGUUUGUGCCCACUCGAUGUCAGUAAAAAGACCCUCACUAUGGAGAAUACAUUUGGUUGGUUUACACUAAACGUUUGCUACUGAUAGAAUCUUCGACAACGGGAACGUUUGCGGAACGGUUUUCUAGGAAAAAAUGCAUAGUUGUUUCGGCGUGUUUCGCAAGCCAUCAAUUAAAAUCAAUUUACAAAACAGAAACGGGUUUUUAAGUAACGUUAGAGAGAUAGUCUCUGCUGCUUCGCAAGCCGCUUUUGUGGGACCUAACUUGAGUUGACUACUUGUUGAGCAUUUUGUCUUACGAACGUCGUGGGCAUUCACCAUGCACGCUGCCAAAGUCUCUGACACCCUGAUGGAAUUCAUGGUGGAUUUCUUAACCAAAAGCCGAAGAGAUAGCAGAUGGCAAUGCCAACAUUCCAGAGGAGCUGAGGGUCAACCUACAGAAGGCCCUGGACAUAGCGUGUGGUCUAGACGCCUACCUGGAGGAAAUGAGCAGCCAGUAAAGUGCACCUCUUGCCGAACUGUAUCAGUGAGUAUUUCCCGUGUCUGUCCCACAAACACAGUGCACAUGCAUGGUUUCUCAUGCACAAGUCUUACUGAACCUCUUGGAACACAACUGGGAGAAAUUUUUCGAGGUAGGGCAAAACUCAGUUUCGGCUUCCGAAAGGGUGCGUCACAUCACAGGGCAUGUGGAAGGUGAGCUGUCUUUAUUACCUGCAUUGGGUAGAGUUGAGUGGAUGCAUGGUUAGAGAGACACAUAUUUAAAUGUGCUAAAUAUUUGUCUUUCAUUAUAUUUCAUUGGCAGGCCAGACUCUGAAAAUGCUGGUUCACAUGAGUUGAUGAUCCUUGAGAUAGGCAUGUUCACAGGCUAUGGGGCUCUGUCAAUGGCUGAGGACUGCCCGAGGAUGGUUCACUGGUUGCCUGUGAGCUCGAGCCACAUCUUAAAGAAUUUGCUCAGCCCAUAUUUGACAAGUCUCCACAUGGCAGGAAGGAAACAGUCAAGAUAUGUUCUGCCAUGGAUACCUUGAAGGUGACUAGUUAAAGCGUGUUGUGUAAAAGCCUGCGGUGAUUUCACAUGUUGAUCUGCUUGUUUAAUAACCAGGUUAUGAAGUCAUGUGGAUAUACAAUGCAAAUCAAGUCACUUAUGGAAGCAUAACUAUUUAUAUUAAAAGUGUAAUACGUAUGAAGAGUGUAGCAAGUAGGCUAUGCUAUAUAACAUAACCAUUAUUUGAGUGUCUACCUAAAGGACACCCCUGAUGAAAACGGACUGGCGCUUCUGAGAUUUUAACCAGUUUGUCACAAGUGAUCCUCGUGUGGAGCAGGUCAAAGGGGAGACGUGGCUUGUAAAGUGGCGGAUGAUUACAGGGUAUUUUCUCUUGUGUUAAUCAGGAAGCGUUUGGUUUUCAAGGUCAUUCUUCCUCUCGGCGAUGGGAUCAGCAUCAUCCGCGGAGUAGGUGCAGGUACAGGUAGUGUAAGACACAUUCUCAGAACCACAUUUAGUUCAUUUUUUGUCCAUGUUUACUUUUAGCAUUGGUACUACCAUUGUUCAUUGGCAACGGUGGUUACUACUACCAUAAGUCAAAUGGUGCCUUUACAGUACUUAACAGCUCAUACAGACUUUUUCCCAGAUUGUUUACUACUCACAACUUGUGUCUCAGAGCAAGGUAACAUACGAUGCAAUAUUCCGUGGUGUGAAUAGGCGGUCGAUCGGAUGCGUCUGGACGGCAGGGUGGCCUAUAUGACAGGUGCAGGCCAGGGUAUAGGCAGGGCGUUCGCACAUGCUCUGGGAGGGGCUGGAGCCAAGGUGGCUGUCAUGGACAUGGAUCAAAGGAAGGCUCAGGGCGUGGCUGAGGAGCUCAGGCUGAAAGGCUGCAGGUCAUGUGAUGCUGAAGCAAGGAUAUGGGAAGAUUAUUAACACAGCGUCCAUGGCCAGUCUAAUAGUGCCUCAUCCACAGAAGCAGCUUGCCUACAACAGCUCAAAGGCAGGAGUGCUCAAACUGACACAAUCACUUGGCACAGAGUGGAUAGACAGAGGGGUCCGAGUCAACUGCAUCUCGCCGCAAGUGUUUGUCUCCCAUGUUUGUUAUAAACAGAGUAGACCUACAGUAUAGUAUCAAUGUCAGGGACUGUAUCCCCAUGCCAAAACAGUUUACACUUCACUUCUAGGCACAGAUAAAAAGGAGAAGAUGUCAAUCCUCACUUGUAUUAAGAAUGUACACAUACAAAAAGCCCAUGUAUUGUUUUUUUUUUAUUGACCUGCCAAGUGCAGUAUAGCACAUCAUUACAGAACUAUAGUGCUGAGCAGUGAUUGAGUGGUUUCUUCCUCUGGAAUGGCUCCAUUUGAGAAUGAGGCACCAGUUUAAGUCCUCAAACAAUGUGCUCAAGCUUAAUUGGAUGACGUCUUGAGGGAUGAAUCAACCAAACACUUGCUCUAAUUGUUGUAUUCAAUUAGGGAAUCAAAUUAGCAUCAUCACUACAAGUGGCUCCACAACAAUAGCUUGUUGUUUGUGUAUGUUUGCCUGUGAAGCCGUGCGGUGGGAAGACGAGGGCUGAGAAAGAGUUCUGCCUGUGUGUUCGGUGGCGCAUCCCUUAGCCACAGCCAUCCCUGAGCAAAUCCGUCCAGUGAGUCGGCUCGGGGGCCCGUCACGGCCCCAGAACAAAGCGCCCAUUCAUGCGCCAGUCGCCGCUUUGCUUUAUUUAUUGCCAGCUUGUUUGCUCAUUUUAAUUUGCAAAGAAGCAAUUCUUUCCCCCUGCUAACUGGCUGUCUCAAUGGGCCGCUGAUUUCUUUGAAGUGACAGUCGGUAAAUAUGCAUAAAAAAAGGGACACAAUUAGCGAGUGCGAGGUUGACUGCAGCCUGAUUUCAUUGGCAACUUUAGCCGCGCCGGUGAUAAGCUGCAUUAUCUACAAAAUUGGUUGAGGGAAAACAGCACCUCUGAUUGCCAGGAAAGGUUCCAGAUAACAGGGCGCUGAAGAGAAAUAUAAUUGAGGUGGAAUAUGUUAACUAUGGUGUCACAUGCUCCUUGGAGGCGCUAAUUUAUCCAAAUGUUGGAAUUUGUAUCAAGGCACAGCCUGGAAUACUGUAGGCCAGACAUGUUAGGUCUGGGCUAAAGAUGAGUCGACCGUGAAGCUUUUAGCUACUGUCAUAUUGAUUGUGUGAAAAGCCUGAAGUCGUCUCACAUUAGACACAGAUGUGUUGACAUGUUUAUCCAAGUUAUAUAUUUAAUUAGGUGGAGAGAAAAUCAUUGGUCAUGAUACACUAAUGCUGACAUUAGACUGGAAGAGGCAUCGUCUAGACUUGAAAGUGCCUAUGUCUCAGAGGAGGAAAUCAGACGAGGAAAUGCCUACAGUACCAACACACCUGUUUCCUUUAAAUGCCACUCAAGCACUCUGCCUGAAAAUCAAACCAGCUCAAGCACAUAUCAGGCAGGAAUCAAAGUGAGAUUGUGAGCAAGACGCAGAGAAAGUGCUUAUCUACAGGCUCCUGAAGGCAAAUUACACCCAGGGUCCCAUCGUACCCGGUGGCGCUUCCUGCCAUGUGCCAGUCAUUAAACGGCACGAGUCCCACUGUAAAUACCAUCAGAGAUGCUGCGCCGUGCCCUUUCUCUGAGGAUAAUUGGGUUUAUUUUUGUCACCAAAGCGGUGGCUCUGAAACACGAUGCCGCUGUCACUCCUGGCUCUGAAGUCUGAUGUCUCUGAUUCCUCUUGUUGAUUUUUUUUUUCUUUCCCUCCAUCCUUGUCUCUCCCUCUCUCAUUUCAGGGGGAUUGUUGACACCCCUCUCAUCCUCUCAGAGAGUCUGAGGCCUCUGGUGCAGUGCUGGCUGUCAGAUAUCCCUGCUGGACGACUGGCUCUAGUGACAGACCUGCAAGCUGCAGUGGUCUACUUGGCAUCUGACGCCUCCGACUACAUGACAGGGCAUAACUUAGUCAUAGAGGGUGGGCAAAGUCUGUGGUAGAGAGAGGGCGAUACUUUCUUUGUUCCACCCUUGGAUCACACAGCGAGGGAGAUACUUUCUUUGUUCCACUCUUGGAUCACUCUUGGGAAUAGGCACCUACUGUGAAUGAUCUCCACAGGGGAGAAUAGAAUAGAAUAACAUUGAGAGAUUAGGUCAGGGUGAUUACCUCACUGGUUUAGCAUUAUGUCAGAUUGGAGAUGGUUUUUGUUAAGUUUCAUACGGUGCUCUUCCAAUAAAUGGGUCAUAUUUAUUUAGAUACAAUUGUGCUUUUAUAUUAUAUCUAUGAUCGAUUUUCCUGACAGUAAUGCACACCUUGUUGCACAUUCUUAAUAUGCUGAUCGUAUCCCUUCUACAGGGUGCAAAUCUGUUUUUUCAUACAGAAACCCUUUACUCGCUUGCCUCUGAGUGACUCUUCUAAACAAGUAUUCAAACCAUUGGCCUCGACAAAGGUAUUUUGUUUCGUCCGUGCCAAGUUGUUGAAAAUGAUUCAUGCAGUAGUUCAAGAUAUUAAUCCGCUAAACUCAUGCUCUUUUCGACUGUGCAAGCAAGUACAGUACUAACUGGAUUGGGCAAAGUAAAUGAAGAAAGGGGAUCCUAUAAAGUGGCUCCACUGUACUGAGAUGUGUAUGGCAAGAUACUGUACACAAGACAGUCUGUCCCUCAAAUAAACACUAUCAAACCUGUAAAAAAUACAUGUUCUUUUUU